CUCAAUAAUGUAAUAAUCCAAUGAAAUUGAUACUUACUAAAAAAAAUUUAAAUAUUGGAAAACAUAAGUUAUGGUAAUGAAAGCAUACAAGUUGCAAUCCUGUUAUUCUACCAGUUUGUGUCCCUAUCUAGACAAGACCUCAUCAUCUUCCAGAGGUUCUUUUCACUCAUUUUAUUCACAUGUUUUUGGUACCAAAAUCCUGCAAGUAAAAGGAAUACAACACAGUAUCACCAACUGUGACAAAGGGAUGCUAGCUACCUCCUGUUUUUGCAAUGUGCAUGUUUCAUGCAUCCACUUGCAUUUUGGAUUUAUAUGAAACAAGAUAUAAAAAAUAUGUUCACAACAUCCAAAUGUUUGUCUUUCACACAUUUCAUCCACCACAAAUUGUCCACAACUUAAUCAAUAUAUUAUAUGAAUAUUACUUGGAAAAUGACAUGCUUCAUUAUUACUCAAAUAACAGUGAAUCUAAUAAAAUCACUUCACAUUUUUCUGUAAGUUUGUUUCAUGAUCUAAAAGAUGGAAGGCUCACUAUGAGCACAUGCUAUGAAAAAUUGAGAAUCCAGUUCUCAUGAAGAGUUAAGCAAAUGAUAUGCUUCAUUUAUGGAACAACAAAAGGGAACUUUUCAUGAAAACCACCAUGGUCUGAUUUAAUAUGUUGUCCCAUAGGUCAAACCAUAUUAGAAAUGAAUCUCAAUGAUAUUUGUGACAAGUGUUUAGCACGUGACAUAUCUUCCAACUAUGUUAUUAACAGGAUGUGGUCCCAUGUUCAUAGUUAAGACACUAAGAUUAAAAAUGAACAAGAGCGAAAAGAUAAUGAUAAGAGAAGGUGCUAGAAUUCAAUAUUAAGAUAUCCCAACAGAAGAAAAAUAAAGUUUCACUUAGUGCGUAAGUGUCCCACAUAAUAGAGUGUAAGAACAAAAAAUGUACACAACCUCAUUCAGCAAGUAGCAAGUAUGAUUUGAACCCACUUAAGCAGUAACUCGCCAUUGUGUUGAUGCUGAUAGAGAGAAAAAUCUAGUAAACAAUAUCUUCGCUUAUAGAAUAACUUUUUUUAUACUACCAAGGGCAUUCACUUACUCUAUGGUAAGAAACUAAUUCAUUUUGAGAUGUAUGGUUACCCCUCUAACAACUGUUGCUCGCAGGAAUUAAACCAUUAAUAUUUUGAUCUUUCUGAUGAUCUAACAGAACUUUAUACCGCCUUGUUAAUUAUAUAUAUAGAAUAAGACUGGGUACAUUAAAUUAAUACUCCAACUUCAAAUACAGGAGAAAAAAAUUGCCCUAUUAUGCUGUGGUGAUUAUGAGCUUUACUUUAUGAGCAAAAUUUUGUCAAAGUUUAAGCUUUAUGAAGACACACAUAAAAACUACCCACAAGAGCCCAUUAUGCUUGAAGUGUGGUGGAUUGUCCAUAGGCCUAAUUUUGUUUUAAAUUCAACUUUUAGUUAGAAGAAUCAGGACAAUCAAACCCAUAACCUUUUCGAUAAAUGAAGAUGAGUGGAAUAAUUCCAUUUUUGUUUAUAUGUUUUGCUAGUAAAACAUGGUAACAUAUACUGUUCCACAGAAUGAAAGCAAUACUUGUAUUGAUUCUAGAAAAUAUAUGAAGAUCUUUCUUCCAAAAACAAGCUACUCUUGAAAUUUAGUAAAUGGUUAUGAAAUGCUCAUAGUAAUUAGCUGUCAAACUUAUAGAAUCAAAUUAAUUGACAAUUUGAAUAUAAAUUAUCCAUUUUUAAGUACAGAUAAUACAGAAAAGCAUGAGGGUAUGCUUGAUUGAAUAUGUGGAAAGUGAGAAGGUGAAAAAUGAAAAUGUAUUUGAAUACAAUAAAGUCCAGAUACAACCAUCAAUUGGAACCUUGAGAAUAAACACCUAAAAGGAAUGAAAGAAUAAUUCAACUCCCAAGUGGAAUAUGCUAGAAGCAUAGAACAGAAGAUCAAUGACAAAAUAAUGGGUACAAUUUAGUGAAGGCCCAAAAAAGUGACACUGAAAACCAUACCAUUGGCAUAUAGAUUAUGGUUAUGGAUACUUCAUCUAGUAGCAACCCAAGAAUAUAAUGAAAGUGGCAUAAAAGAUGGACAAGCAAAAAAAGUACCAUAUAGAAAGUAUGAAGGAAUUGCUUGGUUGAACAUAUAGAAAGUGGUAAGGUGAGAAGUUAUUUGAACACAAUUAAGUGUAAAUACAACCUUCAAUUGGAAUCUUGAGAACAAGAAUCUAAAAGCCAAUAAAAGAACACUUCAACUCCCAAGUGGAAUAUACUAGUGCUAGAAUCCUAGAACACAUGAUCAAUGGCAAAACAAUGACCACAAGUUUUGAAGGCCAAGAAAAAAGAGACAUUGGAAAUUAUACCAUUGGCAUAUAGAUUAUGAAUUAUGAUAGGGAACUGAAAACAGUAGAAUCAUAGUAUUCCACUUUAAGAAAAAAGGGAUAGAUAGGAUCAUAGGAGGAUGCAACUAGGAAUUAAUAUUAACAUGUUGUAGGGACAACAUAAACUUGACAUGAGAUACUAUUCCAAAGAUAAAGGUCUCAAUUAACCAAUAAAAAAACUUCAAAAAGGUCACUAGGUGAUGAAAGGUCAAACUUUGACAUGGCAUAUAUCUUAGAGAAGGAUAGGUGAUAAGUGGUAGUGUGGUACAUUGCUGAGGGCCUUAAGAAACUCAUGGUAAAAAUGAAGAAUUAAAGUGAUGGUUAAAGUAAGUUCAAAACUUUGAUCAAGGUAGAAAUGUGGUACCAGGAAUUGAAGAGUAGAAUGAGGGCUUAUUUUAGAUAAAGGAACAAGUUUAAGUAAGGAUAACUAUCACCUAGUAGUGAGUGAUGAUUGUAAUUACCAUGGAAGAAGCCCCCAGCUUGUGUUUAAUAAUCAGAGACUAUGUUACAGUACCCACCUUGGAACAUGUUUUGUAAUUGUAAACCAACAACAAAACAAACCAAAAGUGGACACUCAUUCACAUUUCUCUUUUAUAAAUAACAUUGUGCAUUUCACUGAAUAAUCUUAUCAACAAUUAAAUACUUUGGAUACUUAAAAAUCUUAAGUAUUAUAACUUACAAUAAAUCUAACCUUAAAAACCAAAAAAUAAAUCUAACUUUAGUUUUAAAUUUUUCUAAAUUGCACUUAUUGUCCCAAAACAAAAAUUAAAUAUUCUCAUUGCAGACCAUUCUUGUAUUUGCUAUUAAUACUGGGCCAAAUGAGUGAUUUAGUAACCCACUCACAUAGAUGAAUUAGGCCUAUCAGAUAAUAUACAAGAGCCUAAAGAUACGGGCCAGGAUCAGGAACAUACGUUCAUUCAUGACAUAGGUUAAUGUGUAUUGGGCUAUGGCAUUGAAAAAUAAUCACUGACUUUUGAGAGCAUCUGCAGCAGAUGUCACUGCUGACGAAAAAAUGAAUAAGAAAUUUAAAAAGUUAGUAACUAUGCAAAAUAUAUACAUCCUGCGUGAAGGUUACAUCACAUUAUUGGUACUUGUUGAUGUUGUCAUCGUCCUAUUAGUUGUGUUUCAAAUUUUUGUGAUCAAUAAAAUUUGCAACGAUAAGUAUCUAUUUGUGUCUUCAUUAAAUUAUCAUUGUCUCCACACUGACCACAUAAGUUGUUUUCAAGUUGAAAAUUUAACACUAUCAGUUAAAUGAAAUUGUUUCAUACCGAUUUUUUUAUAAAAUAAUUAAGACACAUAACAACGUCAUUUUAAUCAAUGAAUUAACUAAAACAAAAAAUACAAAUGAGGAAGUAAAAUAAUGACCAGGAGAAAAUAAGGAAAAAAAUAUAAUUGUCCAAAUAAUUUGUAUGGUAGUUUUAGGAGAAAAUAAUUAAUUAACAAAAUAAAGAAAGUAACAUACAAUAAGGAAAUAAGGAAAAGAAAGAGGUUAAAAUUUAGGAGUGAACAAGAUGAGGAGAUAAGAAGAAGACAUAAACGAUUGAUUUUUUUUUUAAAUCAGUUCGUUUCACUAAUUGUGUUACAAAUGUCAUGUAUGGUCAAGUGUGCAUAAAUAACGUGCCACAUCAAUCAUUCUCUUAUCAUUCUCACACCCAUAUGAAGAGAUCAACGUGACUAGCAAUACUAAAAAAAGUUGAGGACCGAAAUUAUAAUUUAAAUUUAUUAAAGAAGAUCUAGAAAAUAUGAAUCACUAAAAUGGGUGUUCAUGCAUGAUAUGGGACAAAUUUGGUCAUUAAUAUGGAAGAACUUACAAAUUGAGCAGUACUGAUAAAGACAAAUUAGAUUAGAUUGGCAUUGGCCCAACUUAGACACAGUCGUUUUGCUUGGCUUCACGAAUCAAUACAAAGUUGGACCCACUUCUCUUAUCCCAUUUCUUCCUUUAACACAGUUCAAUCAUUUCAUUCACAGCUCACACACACACAAAAUCAUUCAGAUUAACGCAAUAACAAUGAAAAUUUCAAUCUACUUUGUAAUAGUAUUAGUCUUACCUUUAUGUUAUGCAAUCGACGAAGAUGGAGAAACCAUAAUCUUCAAAACACUUGGCAGAGACAACUACGCCUUCGACAUUUACACUCUU
This 4493-nucleotide long non-coding RNA is filed under the name Lupinus angustifolius (narrow-leaved blue lupine). RNAcentral's name for it is "long non-coding RNA (LANG_LNC002236)". Lineage: Eukaryota; Viridiplantae; Streptophyta; Magnoliopsida; Fabales; Fabaceae. The record is from RNAcentral.